UACAUUUCAUUCUGAUUCUUCUAUGUGCAUAUUUAAUGAAGAGAACUACAAGGGAGUGAAAGUUGCAAGUGCUAAUGAUAGUGCUAAAAUCAUUGAGAAGAUUCACUGUAGCAAAGGCAGAACAGAAAUUGUGACUCUAUGUUUCACCAUGAUGAGGAAAUAGAAACCACGAGUAUCAUUGAUGUUAGAUUGUUUCUUCUAUGUUUCACGAUUGGUGAGGAAAUAGAAACCACGAGUAUUGUUGAUGUUAGAUUGUUCUUUUAUUAAUCUAAAUCUAAAGACUUCAAUUUUCUUCACCUUUUUAUUUAUUUAUGGAGAACUUAUAUUUCAUAUUUGGAUGAGACUUUAGUACUUUUUUAUUUGGUGACUUGUUCCUGAAUAUUUUGGCAGCAGCCGUUUUUCUUUCUAAGCAUAUUCAGAAAAUUUACACUUUUAAGUUUGAUCAUUUCCUGCCAUAGUUCAUCUAAUUGAGUUGGAAAAUGACUAUUCUCUUAGCUUCUCAUAUCAUAGUAUAUUUGAUCAAAGAUAACUGCUUCUUAUACAUGUAUGGCUGAGUUUAUCCAAUAAUUUGAAUUUUCUUUGCAUUAUUUCAUCUUUUUGAAUAAAAAAUUCAAAUAUGCACCAACUUACAUGUUCACGGGCCAUACCAAUCUAGUAUAUAUAUAGACAAUAGAAAAUAUUCCUGUCAUUCUAAAAAUAGUUGUUUUAAUUUACUUGUCCAAUUUAUAAAAUUACAAGAAUUUUUAAUAAUUUUUUCUAUCCUGGAUAUUAAAUAACUACACAAAAUAGUACUCUAGUAGUCAAAUUUAAAGUUUCAAAGCAUUAUUAAUAAUGUUAGUUUAGUAAAAAUACGCAUCAAAAUAACUCUUUUAAAGAGUGACAUAUCAAGAAGGGUCAAGUAAUAUAAAAUGCAUGGAGUAAGAAAGUGGAGAAAGACAAAUAUUCGUAUACGUACAUAUACCCACGCUUAAUGCAUAUCAUAUUGAAAUAACAGUCAUAAAGAUAAUGUUAAAUUUUGUGACAAAUUCUUACAAAUAUUAUUAUUAUACUUAUAAGAACAUUAAAAAAUAUUAUAAACACCUAGAUUUAAAAUAAAUAAUAAAUAAUAUAAAGAGAUAUUAUAUAUAUAUAUAUAUAUAUAUAUAUAUAUUUCUAUUCCAUUUUUUCCUAUACUGUAGUCGUUUAGACUAUUGAGGGAUAGAUUUCCUAGGAUUAUAUAAUAGAGUAAAAUGAGCAAUGCAUAGAAUAAAGAGGGGAGUUUGAUUAUGAUUCAAAAUUGAGAGGAGAGUUUAAUUUUUGAAGUGAAAUUGGAGAUGAAAAAUUCAAACUCUUGCUUUUCACUCAUUUAAUGUGAUUUGUCUUUCUAUAGCAUAUGCUUUCACCAAGAAAAAAUACGGAACUAAGUGUAGUUAAUUAGAUUACUAAACGUUUCCACAGUCUCUUAAUCAGUGCAACUUGAAAACAUAUUGGUUCUGGUCAAAAUCUCAGCCUAAGGCUAACAACUAGAAACAGUGAAUGGUGCCUAGCCUUAUAUAAUGAAUGUAUCAUUAUCUUAGUUCCCUUUAACUUUGUGUUAUGAUCAUACCAAGAUAGAAUCUCUUCAUUGUCUCCAUUAUUCAUCUUAAACGUUGAAAUUGAGACUCGAGACUAUUCAUUUGUUAAAUUUUUUCCUGAAAUAAGGAAUAUUUGUGCAAUAGGUGAAAUCACUCUAAUUUCUGCUUUAUGACUUGCUAAUUUCAGUUUAUUUUGUUGAAUGUGGUUCACUUGCUUUUUGAAGGUACCCUGAACCCUCUCCAUAUAUUGUUUGUUUGAAAUGGAAAAGGUUGGGCUUGGGACUACAACUCCUUCUCAGUUGGAACAAUGAAUUCAGGUGUACUUGUGAUGUCUCCUUCGAUACAAACAUUUGUUUUGGUUAUAUGUUCUCUAAAAGUAUUUAAAUAUGAAUAGUUCUAAUACACAAUGUAUUUAGGUAUUUUGCACAUAUUAUAGAUUCAAGUAUCUAUUGAGCACAUUGAUGGCUAAAUAAAUAGAGAUGAUAUUUAAGGAUUGUUUAGUAAAAGGUAUUAGAGAAAAUAGUGCAUGUAUUAGCUUUGGUACUAUUUAAUACUUUGUAUGGUAGUGUUUGUUUGAUAUCACAUUGUGCAGAUCCUAAAUAAAGAAUCAUUCCCUUUACAAAUGUACUUCAGUUUCUAUAUUCAGAGUCGAUCAAUAAUGAAACCACCUUUGGCACAAAUUUUGAUUACUUUCAAGAUGAAAAGGAGAUAAGAGUGUUGCAAGUUAAUUUGCCCAUCAUAUGACAUGGACUUGAGACUAAAAUUGUUUCCUCUAUCUGGUGUAACAAUAAUUUCAUGGAGAAGAUCAUUUUUGUUCUCUUUAAUGUGUUAUUAGUUGCUAAUUAAACCUUUGCCUUGGAUAUCUACUUAAUUGAGGAAAUAAGAUGUCAUAGUUUAUUUCAUAACAAUAUUUCUUAAAUACAUGGUACUUCCAGGAAUACAUGUUUGGUGCGCAAGACACUUCGAUCUUGGAGUUGAGUAUGAAAGUGAAAGUUAACAAUAUUUGGACUGUCGAGGUUCGCACUUCCCAGUGGCUGUUUUAAUAUUGCUUCUAAAAAUUUUGUACAUUUCAUUCUGAUUCUUCUAUGUGCAUAUUUAAUGAAGAGAACUACAAGGGAGUGAAAGUUGCAAGUGCUAAUGAUAGUGCUAAAAUCAUUGAGAAGAUUCACUGUAGCAAAGGCAGAACAGAAAUUGUGACUCUAUGUUUCACCAUGAUGAGGAAAUAGAAACCACGAGUAUCAUUGAUGUUAGAUUGUUUCUUCUAUGUUUCACGAUUGGUGAGGAAAUAGAAACCACGAGUAUUGUUGAUGUUAGAUUGUUCUUUUAUUAAUCUAAAUCUAAAGACUUCAAUUUUCUUCACCUUUUUAUUUAUUUAUGGAGAACUUAUAUUUCAUAUUUGGAUG
This 2956-nucleotide long non-coding RNA is filed under the name Solanum tuberosum (potato). RNAcentral describes it as "long non-coding RNA (STUB_LNC006144)". The record is from RNAcentral. Lineage: Eukaryota; Viridiplantae; Streptophyta; Magnoliopsida; Solanales; Solanaceae.